RNAcentral lists this long non-coding RNA (865 nucleotides) under Solanum tuberosum (potato). Its description in RNAcentral is "long non-coding RNA (STUB_LNC011824)". Lineage: Eukaryota; Viridiplantae; Streptophyta; Magnoliopsida; Solanales; Solanaceae. The record is from RNAcentral.
UUAGAUAUUAGUUAUCAUUCUUAGUUCAUUAGCGUUUCAUUUAAUUAUCAGUUACAGUCAUUCUAAUUUUCUUUCCUCUUUCGUUCCAUGUGAAAUUGGCCCGAGUUCAUAUCCUCUCCCUUGCAUUUUCGAGAGAGCCAUAAAGGCUCAAAUUCCUCCUAUCGAGUCAGUCGACAGAAAAAUUUGAAGAACCGGCCAUUAAAAAUUGACAAACAAGUCCCGAGGUUGAAGGAGCAACCGAUUGAGAAAUUUGAAAAGAUUGGGCCAAAGGCCCACUCUUAAUUCAUAAUAGUUGUAUUUUGUUAUUUUGGGCCUAAGCCCUUGUCAUUUUAAUUGUUAUUGUUGUAUUAGUUUAGGACAGGUGGAAGAAUUGAGACUAAGGUCCAAAAGAUAGAAAAUACUUCUAUUAUGCUAGAAUAGGACAGGUACAAAUGACUUAAAUGGGCCGAAGGCCCAAAACGAAAAUGGGCCCAAAUACUGGUUCAGGCGGACAGAAACCAGAUUUGGGUCCAACCCUCUUUACUUUACUGUGUUUGUUUUGCUUGUUAGUAUUUGUCGUUAAUCUUAGGGUUGAAAAGUUCAAAUCCCCGUUAAGACGCCCGUUGUGUUUUAUCAAUUUAGCUAAAAUCGAUCAUCCUCAACAAGACUUAAAGAAUAAAUGUUGCAAAAAUUAGCUCACUUAGACAAUAUUUAAGUACUUCCCUUUUCCCCCUUAAAAUAGUUCUAACUAUAAAACAACUUAAUUUUGUAAGUCAAACUAAUUUAAAAUUAUUUUAGCCAAAUAAAUUAAUUGUCGGAUAACCGCAUUAGCGGAUAUUUUAGGUGCUUUAAAAACUUUCCUAGAAUAUUAAUAGGAACCUCGAAC